Molecule: ribosomal RNA, 404 nt
Filed under: Anomaloglossus megacephalus
Lineage: Eukaryota; Metazoa; Chordata; Amphibia; Anura; Aromobatidae
Description: partial 16S ribosomal RNA
Rfam family: Bacterial large subunit ribosomal RNA
Source: RNAcentral
CUUGAUUGAACCAUAAGAGGUCUAGCCUGCCCAGUGACAUUGUUUAACGGCCGCGGUAUCCUAACCGUGCGAAGGUAGCGUAAUCACUUGUCCUUUAAAUGAGGACUAGUAUGAAUGGCCCCACGAAAGCUAUACUGUCUCCUUUUUCUAAUCAGUUAAACUAAUCUUCCCGUGAAGAAGCGGGAAUAAAUAUAUAAGACGAGAAGACCCUAUGGAGCUUUAAACAACUGAAACACUUGUAUUUCUCAUUAUACCCCAGAAACCUACACUUAACCCCACAUUUUGUUUCUAGUUUUAGGUUGGGGUGACCACGGAGAAAAAAUUAACCUCCACGCUGAAAGAGCCUAACCUCUAAACAAAAAGCUACAUCUUUAAGUAUUAACACAUUAACAUAAAUUGACCCA